Molecule: ribosomal RNA, 424 nt
Filed under: uncultured Chitinophagaceae bacterium
Lineage: Bacteria; Pseudomonadati; Bacteroidota; Chitinophagia; Chitinophagales; Chitinophagaceae
Description: bacterial SSU rRNA
Rfam family: Bacterial small subunit ribosomal RNA
Source: RNAcentral
UAAGGAAUAUUGGGCAAUGGACGCAAGUCUGACCCAGCCAUGCCGCGUGGAGGAUGAAGGUCCUCUGGAUUGUAAACUUCUUUUAUAUGGGACGAAAAAGGGUCUUUCUAGAUCAACUGACGGUACCAUAUGAAUAAGCACCGGCUAACUCCGUGCCAGCAGCCGCGGUAAUACGGAGGGUGCAAGCGUUAUCCGGAUUCACUGGGUUUAAAGGGUGCGUAGGUGGGGUGGUAAGUCAGUGGUGAAAUCUCCAGGCUUAACUUGGAAACUGCCAUUGAUACUAUCAUUCUUGAAUACCGUGGAGAUGAGCGGAAUAUGUCAUGUAGCGGUGAAAUGCUUAGAUAUGACAUAGAACACCAAUUGCGAAGGCAGCUCGUUACACGAAUAUUGACACUGAGGCACGAAAGCGUGGGGAUCAAACAGG